Molecule: ribosomal RNA, 253 nt
Filed under: uncultured bacterium
Lineage: Bacteria
Description: partial 16S ribosomal RNA
Rfam family: Bacterial small subunit ribosomal RNA
Source: RNAcentral
UACGAAAGGGGCUAGCGUUGUUCGGAAUUACUGGGCGUAAAGCGCACGUAGGCGGCCUUGUAAGAUGGGGGUGAAAUCCACGGGCUCAACCCGGGAACUGCGUUCAUGAAUGCAAAGCUAGAGGAUGCGAGAGGUUAGCGGAAUUCCGAGUGUAGAGGUGAAAUUCGUAGAUAUUCGGAAGAACACCAGUGGCGAAGGCGGCUAACUGGCGCAUUUCUGACGCUGAGGUGCGAAAUCGUGGGGAGCAAACUGG